UACGUAGGGUGCAAGCGUUAUCCGGAUUCACUGGGGUUAAAGGGUGCGUAGGUGGGCAGUUAAGUCAGUGGUGAAAUCUCCGGGCUCAACCCGGAAACUGCCAUUGAUACUAUCUGUCUUGAAUAUCGUGGAGGUAAGCGGAAUAUGUCAUGUAGCGGUGAAAUGCUUAGAUAUGACAUAGAACACCAAUUGCGAAGGCAGCUUACUACCCGAAUAUUGACACUGAGGCACGAAAGCGUGGGGAUCAAACAGG
This 253-nucleotide ribosomal RNA is filed under the name uncultured bacterium. Its description in RNAcentral is "partial 16S ribosomal RNA". It matches the Rfam family "Bacterial small subunit ribosomal RNA", at positions 524 to 776 of the family's 1533-position model. The record is from RNAcentral.